RNAcentral lists this non-coding RNA (117 nucleotides) under Gorilla gorilla gorilla (western lowland gorilla). Lineage: Eukaryota; Metazoa; Chordata; Mammalia; Primates; Hominidae. The record is from Rfam by way of RNAcentral.
GCUGGGCAUGGUGGCUCAUGCCUGUAAUCCCAGCAUUCUAGGAGGCUGAGGCAGGAGGAUCGCUUGAGCCCAGGAGUUCGAGACCAGCCUGGGCAACAUAGUGUGAUCUCGUCUCUA